AGUGAACGCUGGCGGUAGGCCUAACACAUGCAAGUCGAACGGCAGCACAGUAAGAGCUUGCUCUUACGGGUGGCGAGUGGCGGACGGGUGAGGAAUACAUCGGAAUCUACUUUUUCGUGGGGGAUAACGUAGGGAAACUUACGCUAAUACCGCAUACGACCUACGGGUGAAAGCAGGGGAUCUUCGGACCUUGCGCGAUUGAAUGAGCCGAUGUCGGAGUAGCUAGUUGGCGGGGUAAAGGCCCACCAAGGCGACGAUCCGUAGCUGGUCUGAGAGGAUGAUCAGCGACACUGGAACUGAGACACGGUCCAGACGCCUACGGGAGGCAGCAGUGGGGAAUAUUGGACAAUGGGCGCAAGCAUGAUCCAGUCAUACCGCGUGUGUGAAGAAGGCCUUCGGGUUGUAAAGACCUUUUGUUGGGAAAGAAAAGCAGCAGGUUAAUACCCCGCUGUUCUGACGGUACCCAAAGAAUAAGCACCGGCUAACUUCGUG
Molecule: ribosomal RNA, 492 nt
Filed under: uncultured bacterium
Lineage: Bacteria
Description: partial 16S ribosomal RNA
Rfam family: Bacterial small subunit ribosomal RNA
Source: RNAcentral